CAGGGAUUUCUCUGAUUCUGCCUCUUCUGGCUGUGCUGUGGUUUGCUUCUAGUUCUACCAGACUCCAGGCCCUGAAACAGAAGUGGCAGAAUGUGUCAUCUUGGCUGCCCCAUGGUUGGAGAGAGGAAGUUGGCUGGUUUUCUAUGGCCUAGCUCAUGGAACUGUGAGAACUGUGGAGCUAAAUCUUCAUGGAGUCUGGAUCUGGUAAUUCAAAUUAGAGAGUAUUCCUCUGCAAGAGCCUGGAAUGCCCAAUAGGCCAUGUGACAGCAAUUUAUCACUUUAGUGGGACUAAUAAUCUCUGUGAAUUAAAACAAAUCCAAAGUUGGUGUG
Molecule: long non-coding RNA, 330 nt
Organism: Lepidothrix coronata (blue-crowned manakin)
Lineage: Eukaryota; Metazoa; Chordata; Aves; Passeriformes; Pipridae
Exons: 2
Source: RefSeq, a predicted model, not a curated record